GAUGAACGCUGGCGGCGUGCCUAACACAUGCAAGUCGAACGGACUUAUACGGAAACCUAGUGAAGUGUAAGUUAGUGGCGGACGGGUGAGUAACGCGUGGGUAACCUGCCGUGUACAGGGGGAUAACAACUGGAAACAGCUGCUAAUACCGCAUAAGCGCACAGCGCCGCAUGGCGGAGUGUGAAAAGCCUUGACAGUACACGAUGGGCCCGCGUCCGAUUAGCCAGUUGGCGGGGUAAGAGCCCACCAAAGCGACGAUCGGUAGCCGGCCUGAGAGGGCGGACGGCCACAUUGGGACUGAGACACGGCCCAA
This 313-nucleotide ribosomal RNA is filed under the name uncultured bacterium. Its description in RNAcentral is "bacterial SSU rRNA". It matches the Rfam family "Bacterial small subunit ribosomal RNA", at positions 28 to 334 of the family's 1533-position model. The record is from RNAcentral.